RNAcentral lists this ribosomal RNA (250 nucleotides) under uncultured bacterium. RNAcentral describes it as "partial 16S ribosomal RNA". It matches the Rfam family "Bacterial small subunit ribosomal RNA", at positions 527 to 776 of the family's 1533-position model. The record is from RNAcentral.
GUAGGGGGCUAGCGUUGUCCGGAAUCAUUGGGCGUAAAGAGCGUGUAGGCGGUCCGGUAAGUCCGCUGUGAAAGUCGGGGGCUCAACCCUCGAAUGCCGGUGGAUACUGUCGGGCUAGAGUGCGGAAGAGGAGAGUGGAAUUCCUGGUGUAGCGGUGAAAUGCGCAGAUAUCAGGAGGAACACCGGUGGCGAAGGCGGGUCUCUGGGCCGUAACUGACGCUGAGGAGCGAAAGCAUGGGGAGCGAACAGG